Gorilla gorilla gorilla (western lowland gorilla) is the source of this 2628-nucleotide long non-coding RNA. RefSeq lists it as uncharacterized. The record is from RefSeq and is a predicted model, not a curated record. The transcript is spliced from 4 exons. Lineage: Eukaryota; Metazoa; Chordata; Mammalia; Primates; Hominidae.
CCAACAGCCCCACGUUCCUGGAGUUGCUGGAGGAGUUCCCAUCCCUGCAGGUGUCUGCUGGCUUCCUGCUCUCCCUGCUCCCCAUUCUGAAGCCCAGGUUUUACUCCAUCAGCUCCUCCCAGGAUCACACGCCCACAGCGAUCCACCUGACUGUGGCCGUGCUCAUGUACCACACUCGAGAUGGCCAGGGUCCCCUGCACCACGGCGUCUGCAGCACAUGGCUCAACAACUGAAGCCCCAAGACCAAGUGUCCUGCUUUGUGCAGAAUGCCAGCGGCUUCCGGCUCCCCAAGGACCCCUCCCAUCCUUGCGUCCUCAUCGGGCCUGGCACAGGCAUCGCUCCCUUCCUCAGUUUCUGGCAGCAGCGGCUCCAUGACUCCCAGCAAAAGGGUGUGGCUGGAGGCUUCCCAGGUGGGAGGGUACCAGAGGCCAGCGCCUGCCUAGGAGCAGAACCGUAGCCCCACAAACGGUUCCUGGACCUCUCUGGAGGGAAGGCCUCCCAGGUUUGUCUCCCUGUGUGGGGCCUAUGUGGGUGAGAACGGCCGCCUUCCUGUCUCCGGCAUUGGAACCGGGGCUCCCUCUCCCGGGAGUGGAGGUAACGGGAAAGUCCCUGCUUUUGACCUCCGAUGGGCUGAGGGAAUCCUGCAUCUGCACUUUCAGUUGUGUGACUAUGUAUGAGUGAUUGGAAUGCCCUGGGCCUCAGUUUCUUCAUCUGUAAAGUGGGGAUAAUGCUAUUAACUAGCUAGGAUACUUGUGGGAGUGAAGUGAGAAUUCCAGUUCGGCUUUGAGCCAUAGCACCCUGCUGGCCAACAUGGUAACAACAGCCUGGGACUCCUGCAGGAGUGCAGGGAGGCCGCAUGACCCUGGUGUUCGAGUGCUGCAGCCCAAAUGAGGACCACAUCUACCAGGAGGAGAUGCUGGAGAUGGCCCGGAAGGGGGUGCUGCCUGCGGUGCCCACAGCUUAUUCCUGCCUGCCUGGCAAGCCCAAGGUAAAUGCAGCCUCAAAGCAGGUGAAGCAGUACACAACGCAGGCUCCAGUGUGAGCCCGGGGUCCCCACAGGCCCCUCGCCUCCCUGAGCCUGCAGCUCCUGAGCUCUAAAAUGCAGGUAAUUCACAACCAUCAGAGUGAGGCUGUGAAGACUGUUACGCCCUCUCUUCCAAGAGAAGUGACAGGACCGGACAGGUUCAGGACUAACCUAGGUCACAGGCGGGUUGAGCCCAGAGCCCAGCCUGCUGAAGGUCGUCAGCAGGCCCCCGGGACAGGCGACUCCCCUGAGAGAGGUGGUCCAGGCUGGCUACGUUCAAACCCAGCAAGGCUGGAGGGCGGCCGAUGCUUCCACCAUGGCCCUCAGACGGGCUCAGCUGCCCCCAGGGCCUCUUGCCCUCUGAGCCUGAGGUGUCAGAAUAGACUCUCGGCUCUCACACAUUUGUUGCCAUCAGGGCACCUCUCGGUCCCAGUGCUCUGUGCCCAGUGCUGGGGCCACUGGGCAUCCUGUGUGGAGCAGGAGCAGAGAGUCCCCGACUGACUCCUGGACCUUCUAACUGGGAAGCCUGGGAUCCGUACCCUGCAGGGACCCGAUGGACAGUCUGCAUUGAGAGGGUACUUUUCAGGGGUGUAGGCAGAGCCCUGGGCAGGGGGACUGCCUUCAUUGAUGCCUCUUUGAAGCAUGGCAAAUUCAGAGACAGUCUGGGAGCCCCACUGGACAGUCAGCCCCUUGAGGGCAGGCCUGUGUCCAGCAUUUAUCUCUCUACUCCCAGCCCAGCCCCCAGAGCAUCUGUGCUCCUCCUCAUCCUGAGCCUGGACCUGUGCAAGGUCCUGGCUGGGAGGGGACUCACUCCACAGCCCUUAGUGCCCUCUCCCCACCUCCCUGAGGCCAGCAGUCCUGCCUGCAAUCCUUGUCUCCAGUGGCCGGGAACUGGACCCACCGUUUCCUCUGGUUUUAGGUCUGUGUUCAGGACAUCCUGCAGCAGCAGCUGGCCAGCGAGGUGCUCCGUGUGCUCCACAAGGAGCCGGGCCACCUCUAUGUUUGCAGGGCUGUGUGCAUGGCCUGGGAUGUGGCCCACACCCUAGCAGCUGGUGGCUGCCAAGCUGAACUUGAAUGAGGAGCAGGUCAAGGACUAUUUCUUUCAGCUCAAGAGCCAGAAGCACUUCCAUGACGAUAUCUUUGGUGCUGUAUUUCCCUACGAGGCAAAGAAGGACAGGGCGGUGGUGCAGCCCAGCAGCCUGGAGAUGUCAGCGCUCUGAGGGCCCACAGGAGGGGUUAAAGCUGCCAGCACAGAACUUAAUGAUGGAGGCAGCUCUGCAUUAUCCGAGGUCACAGGGCCUGGGGAGAUGGAGGAAAGUGGUAUCCCCCAGCCUCACGUCUUAUUUCUCACCUCAUUCCCCAUCAAGCCCUUUACUUGACCUCCUACCAAGUAGCACCCUGGAUUGAUCGGAGCCUCCUCUCUCAAGCUGGGGCCUCGCUGGUCCCUUGGAGACGAAAUCUUCAAUGCCAGGCCUGGCAAGUGGGUGAAAGAUGGAACCCGCUGGUGAGUGCACCACUUCAAGUGACCACCAGGAAGUGCUGUCACACCACUGUGUAUUUAACUGCCAUGGGUAAAAUUAUUUAUGCCUCUGUUUAAAAAACGA